UUGACCUCGGAUCAGGUAGGGAUACCCGCUGAACUUAAGCAUAUCAAUAAGCGGAGGAAAAGAAACCAACAGGGAUUGCCUCAGUAACGGCGAGUGAAGCGGCAAAAGCUCAAAUUUUAAAGCUGGCAUCUUCGGUGCCCGCGUUGUAAUUUUGUGAGGCAUCUCCGGGUAGGGCGCCGGCCUAAGUUCCUUGGAACAGGACGUCACAGAGGGUGAGAAUCCCGUGCUUGGCUGGCUGUCCCCGCCCACGUGAGGUGUCUUCGACGAGUCGAGUUGUUUGGGAAUGCAGCUCAAAAUGGGUGGUAAAUUUCAUCUAAAGCUAAAUAUUGGUGGGAGACCGAUAGCGCACAAGUAGAGUGAUCGAAAGAUGAAAAGCACUUUGAAAAUAGAGUUAAAAAGUACGUGAAAUUGUUGAAAGGGAAGCGCUUGAGACCAGACUUCGGUAGGGGGUGAUCAGCCGUCCUUCUGGGCGGUGCACUUGCCCCCCUCCGGGCCAGCAUCGGUUGAGGCGGCGGGAUAAAGGUCCCGGGAAUGUGGCUCCCCCACGGGAGUGUUAUAGCCCGGGUGAAUGCCGCCAGCCUCGACCGAGGACCGCGCCCGC
Molecule: ribosomal RNA, 601 nt
Filed under: Morchella esculenta
Lineage: Eukaryota; Fungi; Ascomycota; Pezizomycetes; Pezizales; Morchellaceae
Description: eukaryotic LSU rRNA
Rfam family: Eukaryotic large subunit ribosomal RNA
Source: RNAcentral